This 402-nucleotide ribosomal RNA is filed under the name uncultured bacterium. RNAcentral's name for it is "bacterial SSU rRNA". It matches the Rfam family "Bacterial small subunit ribosomal RNA", at positions 355 to 773 of the family's 1533-position model. The record is from RNAcentral.
UAGGGAAUAUUGCACAAUGGGCGAAAGCCUGAUGCAGCAACGCCGCGUGUGCGAUGAAGGCCUUCGGGUCGUAAAGCACUUUUCUGGGAGAUGAGAAAGGACAGUAUCUCAGGAAUAAGUCUCGGCUAACUACGUGCCAGCAGCCGCGGUAAAACGUAGGGGGCAAGCGUUAUCCGGAUUCACUGGGUGUAAAGCGCGUGCAGGCGGUUCGGUAAGUUGGGCGUGAAAUCUCCUGGCUCAACUAGGAGAGGUCGUUCAAUACUACCGGACUUGAGAGUGGUAGAGGAAGAUGGAAUUCCCGGUGUAGUGGUGAAAUGCGUAGAUAUCGGGAGGAACACUAGUGGCGAAGGCGAUCUUCUGGACCAUUUCUGACGCUCAGACGCGACAGCUAGGGUAGCAAAC